UAAUACGAAGGGGGCUAGCGUUGCUCGGAAUUACUGGGCGUAAAGGGCGCGUAGGCGGACAGUUUAGUCAGAGGUGAAAGCCCAGGGCUCAACCUUGGAAUUGCCUUUGAUACUGGCUGUCUUGAGUUCGGGAGAGGUGAGUGGAAUGCCGAGUGUAGAGGUGAAAUUCGUAGAUAUUCGGCGGAACACCAGUGGCGAAGGCGACUCACUGGCCCGAUACUGACGCUGAGGCGCGAAAGCGUGGGGAGCAAACAGGAUUAGAUACCCUGGUAGUCCACGCUGUAAACGAUGAGUGCUAGUUGUCGGCAUGCAUGCAUGUCGGUGACGCAGCUAACGCAUUAAGCACUCCGCCUGGGGAGUACGGUCGCAAGAUUA
Molecule: ribosomal RNA, 375 nt
Filed under: uncultured bacterium
Lineage: Bacteria
Description: bacterial SSU rRNA
Rfam family: Bacterial small subunit ribosomal RNA
Source: RNAcentral